Gorilla gorilla gorilla (western lowland gorilla) is the source of this 1541-nucleotide long non-coding RNA. RefSeq lists it as uncharacterized. Lineage: Eukaryota; Metazoa; Chordata; Mammalia; Primates; Hominidae. The transcript has 2 exons. The record is from RefSeq and is a predicted model, not a curated record.
AACCCAGCAUUGUCCCCAGUGGGGUAGCAGUAGCCUCCCUUUUCUUGAGAAGGACAGCAGAGAAACAGCCGUUAGUUCCCAGUUCUUGGAAGGCUGAUGUGGGAGGAUCACCUGAACCCAGGAAUUUGAGGCUGCAAGUGAGCUAGGAUUGCACCACUGCACUCCAGCUUGGGUGAUAGAGCGACAGUGUCUCUAAAAAAAAUUAAGUUCCAGCCGGGUGCGGUGACUCACGCCUGUAAUCCCAGCACUUUGGGAGGCCAAGGCAGGCAGAUCACCAGAGGUCAGGAGUUCGAGACCAGCCUGGCCAACGUGGCAAAACCCUGUCUCUACUAAAAAUACAAAAAUUAGCCGGGUGUAGUGGUGCAUGCCUGUAGGCCCAGCUACUCCGGAGGCUGAGGCAGGAGAAUUGCUUGAACCCCGGAGGUGGAGGUUGCAGUGAGCCAAGAUCAUGCCAUUGCACUCCAGCCUGGGUGACAAGAGUGAAACUCUGUCUCAGAAAUAAAUAAAUAAAUAAAUAAAGUUCCCAGUUCUCUGCUGUUAAUAAGGGCCUUUGUCCACUGUGCCAGGCCUCAAGGUUGUUAGUUACCUCAGUGGGCAGACUCAUAAGAUGGCCCCAGCACCCCUCACCUCCUGGUAUUGACACCCUUGUAUGACCCCUCCCCGUGAGCUUUGGCUGUACCUGGUGGCCUGCUUCUAACCAACCGGCAAAGGUGAUGGAAUGUCACCCCAUGACUAGGUCACAAAAGGGUAUGACUUCAGUCUCUCUGGCACUCUCUGUUGCCUUCUUGGCAUGGAUGCUCUGAUGAAGUCAGCUGCCAUGUUGGAGAGGCCCACAUGGCGAGGACAUAAAGGCGGCCUCUGGCCAACAGGCAGUGAGAACUGAGGCUCUCAGUCCAGCAGGCCAUGAGGAACUGGAUCCUGCCAACACCACCAAUGAACAUGAACUAUUCAGGGGAAGAUUGUUAAAUGAAAGAAUCUCACUGGGCGGGGAGCCAAGCAUGACACCUGGCGACCUGCCUGUGCCUGUCCCGCCAAGAAGAGAGAAGAGGCCUUGAAAGCAGCCAGAGGGGGUGCACACCAGCCUGGGCAGGGGGCAGUAAGUGGGAGCAGCCCCGACCCAAGACCAGGUGGGAUGCACGCCGGGUGGGGCUGGAAAAGAAGGAAACCCUGACGCAGACCCCAGGGGGAAAUGAGGAGCAGUCGAGCAACUGGAGAGCAGAGGAGGCUCUUUGGUGGCCCCCAGCCCCACCCCUGAGAGGGCUGAGAGAGGAGCAGGUGUGAGGGCAAAACAGGCAGGAACCUUCCAGAGAAGAAAGCCAGGAGCUGGUAAAGAGCACGGGCCCAGCUGCAGACAGAAACCUUUCCCGUCUCAUAUGAUGGCUGAGGCGCAGGACAGCGGCGGGGGCGCGUCCUCCUUCAUCUGUCCUGUUUCCUUAGGUUCUAGGUGCACCGCUGGUAAGGAGCUUCUUAUGUGGGGUCUUUGACAACCCUCGUUUUUAAACUAGAGCAUUUCCUUCAUUAAUAUUAACUGUAAUCAUUGA